CGGUGCGCGCGGCCGGGAAGCGGAGCGGGCGGGCGGACCGGCGUCGCCAGGGACCUCGGCUCGGCGUGGGGAGCGGACGCCUGCCGCAGGUUUCCGAGCGCGUGCGAUGAGCGCAGGGUCGGGGGUAACUGCGAGCCCUGAGAGAACAGGACUGCCCUGCCGUCACAGCGGGGUUCCUUUGAAGUUGGAGGGUUAUGGUGAGAACAAAAUGAGACAAUGAGAUGUAAAGUGAGCGACACAUAGUAGCUGGGAGACCUCAGUCUCUUCCGUGAUGUGGAAGCCCCUCCGUGCUCAGACCCCGAUGCUCUGGAUCUCUCCAUCUCUAGCCUUAAGUGAGGACCGUAUUACACGUCGGUUUCUCGGAGAGAAGACAAGUGUGCUUUCCGUCUGCAAUGCACCAUUUGCAUAGUCGCAUGGGACUUCCAAAGUCGGCAAGUAACACAGCCUGUCUUUCAUCUGCGCUGAGUAGACCUAGACCAGUGGCUCUCAACUGGAGUGGUUUUGUGCUCCCAAGCCCAGGGCACACUUGAGAACUCAGAGAUACUUCUGAUGGUUGUGCCUGGAGGAAGGGUGCCCAGCGGUGCCCAGUAUGCACAGUCGAGGCCAGACUGCAGCAGUGGAAGGUGACAGCCGAGCCUCAGAAGGAGUCCCAGCCGAAAUGUCAACAGUCCCACGGCUGAGAAACAGGCCUAAAGUUUCAAGCAAUCAAGCAAGGGCUUCUGGCUGGGGCUCUUACUGCAGAGAUUUCCAAAGGAGUGAGGAGGGGGCAAGGCUUAACAGCAAUGUUGUGAAGCAGCUGGGCAGUGAUUUUCAAACUUUGGUUUUUACCAACAAAAUCAAUCUCUCUGUUGAAUGACCUUAACUCUAUUGUAUAACUGAUCUCUUUUGUCCUUAAAGGACUCGCACCAAUUAAUAAGAAAAAAAACAGUAAAAGCCCACUUGAAAAUUAA
Chinchilla lanigera (long-tailed chinchilla) is the source of this 950-nucleotide long non-coding RNA. RefSeq lists it as uncharacterized. The record is from RefSeq and is a predicted model, not a curated record. The transcript is spliced from 3 exons. Lineage: Eukaryota; Metazoa; Chordata; Mammalia; Rodentia; Chinchillidae.